RNAcentral lists this ribosomal RNA (864 nucleotides) under Triticum aestivum (bread wheat). Its description in RNAcentral is "partial small subunit ribosomal RNA". Lineage: Eukaryota; Viridiplantae; Streptophyta; Magnoliopsida; Poales; Poaceae. The record is from RNAcentral.
AUGGAUCGUGAUAGCGUGCCCCACAAGGCAUUUCUAAACAUGAGCACCAACCUGUUCCGGUCCCAGGGCAUCAUCGUCAACACCUUCCGCUCGCCGGAGCCACGCGCCAUGGACACCAUCGUGGCCGGACUCUGCGCACCAUCCGGCCUCUGGACACCCCCGGUCUACUGUAUUGGGCCACUGAUCAAGUCGGAGGAGGUCGGCGUGAAGCGCGGUGACGAGUGUCUCGCGUGGCUGGACGCGCAGCCCAAGGGCAGCGUGGUCUUCCUCUCCUUCGGCAGCCUUGGCCGGUUCAGCGCCAAACAAACAAGGAAGGUGGCCGCCGGACUAGAAGCUAGUGGACAGAGGUUCAUGUGGGUCGUGCGGAGCCCGCCAAGCGCCGACUCGUCGAAGAACUCCGAGAAGCCGCCUGAGCCGGAUUUGGAUACCCUCCUCCCGCAGGGUUUCCUUGAAAGGACCCAGGGCAGGGGCCUCGUUGUGAAGUCAUGGGCGCCGCAACGUGACGUGCUGGCACACGAUGCAGUUGGUUGUUUUGUGACACAUUGUGGGUGGAACUCAGUGCUCGAGUCGGUCAUGGCAGGUGUGCCGAUGUUAGCGUGGCCGUUGUACGCGGAGCAACUGAUGAACGCGGUGUUCCUGGAGAAAGAGAUGGAGCUGGCCGUCGCGAUGGAAGGGUGCGACAAGGAGGUGGUAGAGGCCGAGGAGGUUGCUAAGAAGGUCUGGUGGAUGAUGGACUCCGACGGCGGGAGGGUGCUCCGAGAGCGGACUUUGGCGGUGAUGAGGCAGGCGAAAGAGGCUCUACUCGAGGGUGGGGAAUCAGAGGCGACGUUGACGGGGCUGGUGGACACGUGGAUUCGUGUUUGA